UCACUUCGUUCUACAGGUCCAGUUCCAAUGUUCAUGAUGCUCCAGUGUGUCUGGGAGACAGAGAUGAGAGACUACAAACAGGAGACAUUUUAAGAAGCUUCCUGGAGCUUUUGGUGAUUCUGUUCUGUUCUCCUCUUCAAAAUGUUGCUUUAUGUGGAUCUCAGUACCCAUCAGACACCCAAAAACAUGUGCUGGAAGAAACAUGUCAAGGACUGACAGCAACUCAAUGGCAAACUGAUGGAAGUUUCCCCAAAUGGUCAAGUGGAUGUGUACUGAAUGAGAUGUGGAAAGUGUACUGACAUCAGAGUAUUUCCUAGAACUCUACUAUUCAUAUAGUGUAGAAAAUUAUUUGUCUGUCUUUCAGAAAAUGUCUUCCUUACAAAAGAUAAAAAAAAGUUUCCUUUUAAAUAUGCAGUGAAUUCUUUAGGUUGUAUAUAAAGUGAAAAGGCUCUCCUUUUUUAUUAUACAGUGAACCUAGCAGAUGUAUUGCACUCUGGCUUUUGUUUGUUUGGGUUUUUUUCCCCCCAUUUGCACUGUGAUUUUAAAGCAAUAAGCCUUUCCAGCUUUUCUGUU
This 573-nucleotide long non-coding RNA is filed under the name Dromaius novaehollandiae (emu). Its description in RNAcentral is "lncRNA (ENSDNVG00000016658.1)". The record is from RNAcentral. Lineage: Eukaryota; Metazoa; Chordata; Aves; Casuariiformes; Dromaiidae.